Dioscorea cayenensis subsp. rotundata (Guinea yam) is the source of this 458-nucleotide long non-coding RNA. RefSeq lists it as uncharacterized. The record is from RefSeq and is a predicted model, not a curated record. The transcript is spliced from 3 exons. NCBI's taxonomy places the organism in Eukaryota, Viridiplantae, Streptophyta, Magnoliopsida, Dioscoreales, Dioscoreaceae.
GCUGGGUGGGGUAAAUAUUUCACAUUGUUUUUAUUUUUAUACACAGACAAAACCUGAAGGACAAGUCCACUUUUUCCCAGUGAUCUUUAAUAGAAAGCAACUCUAUGAUGUUAUGGUAGAACGAGCAGGUCCAUCAAAGACUAGCUUGCCAAAGUAGUUUAAGAAAGUUGGUGUUCCAGCGCAAUAGUCAGGGUAUCUUUUGGGGAUUCGAGUUGCACCGUGGCGGCCAAAAGCUAGUAGUUCCUGUAAGUUAUGUGCUUAAUUUCCCUUUACACAAUGUUGUAAUAAUUAAAUCUAAAAGUUUUCUUUACACAAUGUAAAGAUCCUUGUAAUAAUUAAAGCUAAAUGUUUUCUUAUUAAUAACCUCGUUUAUGUGUUGGUGAUCUUUCAGUUUUUUCGGGGUUAUCUUCAUAAUCAACAUAUGCGCAGUAAUGGAGAUUGAACUAGCCGGUAUAUUU